Molecule: ribosomal RNA, 498 nt
Filed under: uncultured bacterium
Lineage: Bacteria
Description: partial 16S ribosomal RNA
Rfam family: Bacterial small subunit ribosomal RNA
Source: RNAcentral
GGAUGAACGCUGGCGGCGUGCCUAAUACAUGCAAGUCGAGCGAACAGCUAAGGAGCUUGCUCCUUUGACGUUAGCGGCGGACGGGUGAGUAACACGUGGAUAACCUACCUAUAAGACUGGGAUAACUUCGGGAAACCGGAGCUAAUACCGGAUAACAUAUUGAACCGCAUGGUUCAAUAGUGAAAGGCGGCUUUGCUGUCACUUAUAGAUGUAUCCGCGCCGUAUUAGCUAGUUGGUAAGGUAACGGCUUACCAAGGCAACGAUACGUAGCCGACCUGAGAGGGUGAUCGGCCACACUGGAACUGGGAAACGGUCCAGACGCCUAAGGGAGGCAGCAGUAGGGAAUCUUCCGCAAUGGGCGAAAGCCUGACGGAGCAACGGCGCGUGAGUGAUGAAGGUCUUCGGAUCGUAAAACUCUGUUAUCAGGGAAGAACAAAUGUGUAAGUAACUGUGCACAGCUUGACGGUACCUGAUCAGAAAGCCACGGCUAACUACGUG